CCGCGAGCCGCGGGCCACGUGGCGCCGCACGACCUUGACCACCUCGUCGGUGUCGUCCUCGCUCGACGCGCAAUGGUCGCCCUUGCGCCGCGUGCGCCGUUUUACCUUGACCACCUGGCACUCGGUGCCCGACGAGGAUGACGAUGAACACGAUGAUGAUGAUGACGAAGAAGAGGAUGAACACGAGGAUGACGACGAUGAAUCAAAAGGCAGCGAACAGUCAAAGGACGUUGUGUCGAAACAACUCGACAGGGACGAAAUGCUCGACGGCACGCACGCCGACGUGAUGCUCGACGACACCGCACAACGGCACGGGCUCCACCCGCAGGCCGUGCACAGCGGGUCGCCCACACCGCCCUUGCAGAUGCACCGCUCGCGCCGACAAAUUUCGCACCAGCGGCCGUCGCGAUGAUGGCGGCGAUGCCGGCCGUGGUGGUGAUGACGGCGGCCACGGCCGCAUGCGCACGGGUAUACGCCGCACAGGCUGCAGAUCGACGGGCCGCAUAUGCACUCUGUCUGACGGCACACGCUGCACCACCGGCCGCCGCGGCGCUGUCGGCAUAUGCACACCGUGCGGCAGCAGACCGAGCACACGCUGUAGGGCACACCGCCACCGCAUCCGCAGCCUCCGCGGAAUCCAUAGCCAAAGCCGCCGACGCCGCAGCAGGCUGCCACGCCGGGCGUGCCCACGGCAAACACGGUCGGCGUCGCGGCCGCAUACGUUGCGCCGUACGCGACGCCAUAGGCGGCACUGGCACCGUAGACGGGCACCGCCGCGCCAAAGGCGGUGGCGCCAUAGGCAGGAGCCACCGCACCGAGGACAUGGGUGACGAGGGCCAUCUCCUUGUCGUUGUCUGUUUUUUUAUUCUUGUCUUGCUUUCGCGGGGGAAAGCGCGGCGCCACGAGUUUCUCAGUCUCUGUCGGCCUUUUCACAUCAACACGCUUUUUUCGCUC
RNAcentral lists this long non-coding RNA (954 nucleotides) under Pandoravirus celtis. RNAcentral describes it as "hypothetical ncRNA". The record is from RNAcentral.